UGUAAAGUCAAUUGAAAAAGACAGGCAAGGUCCACGAAGCGGAAUUAAUAAUUUCUUUAUUCAAGGAAUGAUGUACUUGCUAAUUCGUCGGAUCCAUAAUCAGUUGUUACAAGCAUAUUCAAUCGAUUACCGCACACAGAAACUUUAUAUUUAUAGAACACUACGUCCACACUGCAAGGAAUAAUCCAAGACAUGCAAAGAAGAAUUAAUAUUGAAUGGACCUGUCAUAAACUUCUCCUAAAAAGGUCGUAGGAUAGAGACAAAGGAAUGACCCCUGAGACCAGUAAUCUCGCAAAACUCACGGUCGGCCCGUGACGGGACGCUCAAUUAAUCCAGACAUAAUUAUCGCUAAUUAUAGUAGCUGACACAGCGAAAACGAGUUCGGGGUUACAUGCUAGCCUGUAUGAAGGCUCGUGCCCCGGUAAGAGCGCCCGGAUUCUGUCUUUUUCUUUCCAACUUUUGCCACGGAAUCACGGCGAGUGAACGUUUUGAUGCGCUGUCUACUCCGUAAUCGGGGAUAAACGGCGAUUAGGUAAUCCUUGCGAUGCGGAAGACAUGUGGAGCCUCCUGUAUAUGCAUGCAUGUAUGCUGAAUGUACAUCUCUCUUUCCCCGGAUCGGUGGUCUAACCUCGCUCGCGGGGGAACACUAUAAUCGACAGCUCUGCCCCCCUGAUGGUUGACUACUGAUGCAACUUGCAGAUUAUGCACCUUGGGGGUUGCGUCCUGAUUCUUUGAA
Frieseomelitta varia is the source of this 736-nucleotide long non-coding RNA. RefSeq lists it as uncharacterized. Lineage: Eukaryota; Metazoa; Arthropoda; Insecta; Hymenoptera; Apidae. The transcript has 3 exons. The record is from RefSeq and is a predicted model, not a curated record.